Syzygium oleosum is the source of this 526-nucleotide long non-coding RNA. RefSeq lists it as uncharacterized. Lineage: Eukaryota; Viridiplantae; Streptophyta; Magnoliopsida; Myrtales; Myrtaceae. The transcript is spliced from 2 exons. The record is from RefSeq and is a predicted model, not a curated record.
ACUUAUCUUCUCCUUGAUGCACGCGUGUUAGAGUGCAUAAGUAUCCCUGUUCAUUUACUUAAUGGAUUUCAAUGGGCCUAUAUAUAUAAUCUCCCUCUAGUAGUUGCAUUUACUCAUUUGUUGGAAGUAGAGGAUUUUUCUCAAAUUAGUGCUAUGUACUUUUUCCACGGGAUCAGUAUUAUUUAUUAAUAUGUUCCGGCAGUGCAAAUUUCUAUGAAUUAAUUGAUGGAGCAUAUAGCGUCCUCUAUUAUGUUUUUGUUAGGCUCUCAAAAUUUGGAAGGGAGCAGAAGUAUGACAGGAUUUGCUCAUUACGAUAUUGUUCUGAUUUGUAGGGAAAGCUGAUCUAUUUGAAUAUUUGUGUGAAUGAUUACGUAAACAAGAUCUUCAAGAUGGAGUUUUUUUUUUUCUUAACUGUAUUUAUGAGAAUGUUUGGACUUUCAGAGUGUUGUUUUUAUUAGUUGACGGAAUUCAGUUUCUAACUUAAGAUUGUUUGUACAGAGAAUUUUCUUGCACUAUGAUUUUCCAA